This 491-nucleotide ribosomal RNA is filed under the name uncultured bacterium. RNAcentral's name for it is "partial 16S ribosomal RNA". It matches the Rfam family "Bacterial small subunit ribosomal RNA", at positions 28 to 507 of the family's 1533-position model. The record is from RNAcentral.
GAUGAGCGCUGGCUACAGGCUUAACACAUGCAAGUCGAGGGGAAACGACGGGGAAGCUUGCUUCCCCGGGCGUCGACCGGCGCACGGGUGAGUAACGCGUAUCCAACCUGCCUCUGACUGAGGGAUAACCCGUCGAAAGUCGGCCUAAUACCUCAUGGCAUCGUCUGCGGGCAUCCAACGACGAUUAAAGAUUUCAUCGGUCAGGGAUGGGGAUGCGUCUGAUUAGCUUGUUGGCGGGGUAACGGCCCACCAAGGCUACGAUCAGUAGGGGUUCUGAGAGGAAGGUCCCCCACAUUGGAACUGAGACACGGUCCAAACUCCUACGGGAGGCAGCAGUGAGGAAUAUUGGUCAAUGGGCGGGAGCCUGAACCAGCCAAGUAGCGUGCAGGAUGACGGCCCUAUGGGUUGUAAACUGCUUUUAUGCGGGGAUAAAGUGAGGGACGUGUCCUUCAUUGCAGGUACCGCAUGAAUAAGGACCGGCUAAUUCCGUG